UAAGGCUUUUUUAGCGAUUGACAGGUUUCCAGCACGAGUCGGAGACGACAAAGUCAUGACGUUUCAAAAUUAGUGAGGAAAAAUCGAUUACAAAACACGGGAUAAAAAGUUGAAAAGUCAUGUUUUCGUGUGAUUGUUGACCUCGUCUUCGUCUUGAAUCAACAAACUUCACACGAAAAGUGGAAUUUUCAACUUUUUAUUACUUCAAAAAGAAAAUUUUGCACCUG
This is a long non-coding RNA of Bradysia coprophila, 227 nucleotides long. The record is from RefSeq and is a predicted model, not a curated record. NCBI's taxonomy places the organism in Eukaryota, Metazoa, Arthropoda, Insecta, Diptera, Sciaridae.